GCACCUCGAUGUCGGCUCAUCACAUCCUGGGGCUGUAGCAGGUCCCAAGGGUAUGGCUGUUCGCCAUUUAAAGUGGUACGCGAGCUGGGUUUAGAACGUCGUGAGACAGUUCGGUCCCUAUCUGCCGUGCGCGUUGGAAACUUGAAGGAAGCUGCUCCUAGUACGAGAGGACCGGAGUGGACGAACCUCUGGUGUUCCGGUUGUCACGCCAGUGGCAUUGCCGGGUAGCUAUGUUCGGACGGGAUAACCGCUGAAAGCAUCUAAGCGGGAAGCCCCUCCUAAGAUUAGGUUUCCCUUGAGCUUUAAGCUCACUGUAGGGCCCUUGAAGACUACAAGGUUGAUAGGCUGGGUGUGGAAGCGCAGUAAUGUGUGAAGCUAACCAGUACUAAUUGCCCGUGAGGCUUGACCAUAUAACACUCAAA
Molecule: ribosomal RNA, 422 nt
Filed under: Gammaproteobacteria bacterium
Lineage: Bacteria; Pseudomonadati; Pseudomonadota; Gammaproteobacteria
Description: partial 23S ribosomal RNA
Rfam family: Bacterial large subunit ribosomal RNA
Source: RNAcentral